AGAUCCACUUCAAGGAAACACUGACUUGAAAACUCUCCCCCAUGGUUUUGUCUGAACUGGCUGCCAUUCUGCAGCACACACCAGAUCCAAUUGCUGGAGUCGGGAACCCGAGAGAUACACUGCCUCUAGGACUGGGACAGAUAGCCACUGAGUACCUGCUUCAAAUCACCCUGCACGUUUUCUCUUUGGAAAGAUAAGCACUGGAGAACCAUCUCGUUACCUUCAGCAGAAAUGGAAACAAAUCAAGACAUUAAGAAUGCCGCAGUGGACAGCAGUUAUGCAAGGUUCAGCAGAGGAAGUUUUCAAGAUGGUGUGCCUCACUAGCCAGAAAUCAGAAAAGAUCGAAGCUAGCCUUUUCAUCUCAGCUGCUCCUUAAAUCAGUGCAACCCCUCCAAAUUAAUGUGAAUUGAAACUUGCAUUGCUUUUCAACUUAAUUGAAUACUUACUAUAUGUGAACCACUGCACAAAAUAGGGGAAGAAGAUGUGGGAGACAAAGAUGUGGAGCCUGUCUUCAAUAAAUUUACAGUUAGUUUCAGGGUACAUUGUUUUUCUUCUGCUGUUAAUUAGGUGUAUCCCCAAGACAAUAAAUACAUGAAUGGAAAAGUA
Molecule: long non-coding RNA, 606 nt
Filed under: Homo sapiens (human)
Lineage: Eukaryota; Metazoa; Chordata; Mammalia; Primates; Hominidae
Description: HSALNT0328327
Source: RNAcentral